Molecule: long non-coding RNA, 2185 nt
Organism: Camelus dromedarius (Arabian camel)
Lineage: Eukaryota; Metazoa; Chordata; Mammalia; Artiodactyla; Camelidae
Exons: 4
Source: RefSeq, a predicted model, not a curated record
CCAGGAGACCUAGAGGGUGAGAUUGGUUCGAGCCGGAGGCGGGAGCGCCAAGCGCCGUGGGCCCAGAGCGCCGAUUUUGAGUUUCUUGAGCCCUUGUUGAUGGUUGCCUCCAGGAAUAUGCCCAGGAGUGGGAUUGCUGGAUCAUAUGGUGGGAGGGUACAUUUACUCUCUGUUCUUCACCUUGGAUGGAAGCAGGAUUCUCAACAUGCCUUUCAGCGCCAUCUGUAUGCUAAUGACCCGCACAUUCACUCCGACCUUCAAAGUCUUAUAUCCAACUUGGAAUAAUCAUGGCUAAGACCUCAAACUCACCGGAUCCAAAAUGGAACUCCUGAUUCUCCUCUCACCAGAUCUCUCCUUCCUGUCUUCCUCAUCCCAGGAAAUAUUCAUCCAGAUGUUAAUUUUAUCCUCUUUUCUUCUGUUUCCCUCAUAUCCUAUGCCAGCAUCUCAGAAACUCCUUUUGGCUUGACCUGCAAGAUGUAUCUUAAAUCUGAGACACUUUCAUUACCUCCACUACUGAUUAAAGUCACCAUCAUCACUCAUCUGGAAUCUUGCAGUAUGAAUAAACUGAGGCUCAGAGAGAGGUCAAGUGAAUUGAAGUCACACAGCACACAAGUGGCAAAGCCGGUGGUGGGCUGGUCAGCGUUUAACAAUCAGCUCUCCAAACAGACAAACAAAAGCCUCAAUUUGUGGUGUUUGCCAAUUUCUGUGGUGUAAAUACUCCUGCCGAAUUUCAAGCUACCAACACGCUUCACUGAACUUGAAGCUGGGAAGGGAUGCUCACAAUCGACCCUUGUCAGCAGGUAUGAGCCAACUUCAGAACAUCAUGAGGCAAAGUUGAGAUUCAAACCCCGCCCUGUUCGAUGCGGACCAACUGGCAUUCUAUUUUAGAUUCCUGAAACCUGGUAUUAAGCGGAAAAAAAGCAGGGUACAUAGGGCAUGUAUCAAGGGGGAAAAAGAAUACGGAAACAUACAAAAGAAUAUACGCUUAUGAAUGUAUAUCUUGGCUUGUUUGUGUGAAUCUUGAAUGAUUUGCCAGACUGAUAACACUGAGUUUUUCCUAGAAGGGGAGCUAAGUGUCUGGAUGACAGGGAGGGAGAGAGAUUACUUAGGGUAUUCUUUAUACUCUUUGAAUUUUGAACCAUGUGAGUAUAUUAACCAUUCAAAAAAAAAAAAAGAAUCAACAAAAAAUAAAACCAGACAAGCAACCAAUCGCAAACAGACGCUGGGCCUGCGGCUCUGUGCCAGGCUGGUCUGUGGGCCUGGGGCCGGGCAGGGUGUGCUGGGUGGACUGCUCUGUCUUUUGGCAGCCCUUGGACUGUGCUGCUGGGCAGGUGGGGCAAGUCGAGAGACUAUCGUCUUCUCAGAGUGUGAGGGAUGGUUGCACUUGCUUUAAUUCUCGUCUGUGCAUCUUGGUCACUGAGACCACGGCACUGCGCUCUAAACUCAAUUAGAAAUUUAACAAACCUUAUAAAUCCUCCCCAGCCUGGGCCUUGUAAAUCUCCAGAGCGAGGCUGGCUUAACACUUCUCUAUCUCUGGCUUAAUGACCUCCCUGGCCCGGCCUGGGAAUGAUUCAGGGCCAGCGAAAGGUCUAAUUAGUGAACACAAGCUGCAUCCCAGGCGAGGGGAGGAGGAAGAGCGACUGGGUCCCCGCCCUGGGGACACUAGGGAGGUGAGUCCCAGCCCUGGACAAGGAGGGUGAAGCAGGUGCCUGAUUGACCUUCACUGUUAACACAGCCCUGUUGUGUCUCCCGCACUGCACUUCGUUGUUCAGGGAGGGCUGUUGUGUGAUGUGCCACUUAUAACACUGUUGCAUCGAGAGCCCUGUGGGGCCCAUGGAGUCUCCCGGCAAGACAGCACAUUUGUGGGCAGGUUUUGAGGCUGUGUUGACAGCCUGUGGUGGGCGUGGGAGGUUUUGACGGUGGGUUCUCAUCUCCCGUGCCUGAGGGAAUUGUGUUCCAGAGCAAUGUAUGUGAAAUAACAGGGAGUCCAGAGAGCCUCAUUUUUAAGGGUGUACAUCUCAGCUUUAGUGAGAAGAUGGAUCUUUCCAGCCAAGCUGACCUAUCCUUGUGAGUUAAUGAGCUCCCCGUCAGUAGAAAGACAGCCCAGGAUCCUCCACCAUUAACGGAGCCCAAGCUGUGUGCCGGGCUCCUUACACAUCAUCUGAUGCUGUCUUCCGGCCCCAUC